AACGAACGCUGGCGGCAUGCCUAACACAUGCAGGUCGAACGAGACCUUCGGGUCUAGUGGCGCACGGGUGCGUAACGCGUGGGAACCUGCCCUUAGGUUCGGAAUAACUCCCCGAAAGGGGUGCUAAUACCGGAUAAUGUCUUCGGACCAAAGAUUUAUCGCCUUUGGAUGGGCCCGCGUUGGAUUAGCUAGUUGGUAGGGUAAAAGCCUACCAAGGCGACGAUCCAUAGCUGGUCUGAGAGGAUGAUCAGCCACACUGGGACUGAGACACGGCCCAGACUCCUACGGGAGGCAGCAGUGGGGAAUAUUGGACAAUGGGCGAAAGCCUGAUCCAGCAAUGCCGCGUGAGUGAUGAAGGCCUUAGGGUUGUAAAGCUCUUUUAACCGGGAUGAUAAUGACAGUACCGGGAGAAUAAGCGCCGGCUAACUCCGUG
Molecule: ribosomal RNA, 433 nt
Filed under: uncultured bacterium
Lineage: Bacteria
Description: partial 16S ribosomal RNA
Rfam family: Bacterial small subunit ribosomal RNA
Source: RNAcentral